AUGGCUUUUUCUAUUUCAAAGAACUGUGUGGCCUGUGGCUGUAAGCUGCCUGAGGCAGACGGCCAUGAUAAAUGUCUUGUAUGUUUGGGGGAGGCUCAUGGAGCAAAGAAUUGUUUGGUUUGUGCGGCCCUUACACCGCAAGCCCGUAAAAGCAGGGAGAAAACGCUAAAAGCUCUAGUCUUGGAGAGAGUUCUCUUCCCAGUCCCAUCUACAAGCGGCUCCCGAACGCCACGGCAGGGUAAGCCAGCUGAACACCGGGAACUUACUUCCUUGCUGGCAGCCUCGCCGGCUCCAAAGAGAGCACAUUCCACUCCUCCUGCUCUUCCUACUCCCCAGAAGACCUCCAUUGCUGCAGCUGACAGCCGCAAGGGGACGAAGAAGCGUGCAGCAUCUGAGGCACGCAGCGCAGCCAUGCCCACGGUGCUGAUGUCGCCAGAAAGGAUACGGCAGCUGGCUCCGCCCAUGACGUCUGGGCAAGAGCAUGGAGGCAAGGCGCGCAUUAUGCCCCUGACGCAGGCCUCGCCAGCUCCGGUCAUGGGUGUGGCCCUGCUCCCCAAGGUGGAGACAGCCCACCCGCCGGGAGAAGAGCUACUGCCGCCCACUCUCCCUGCAGGGAUGGGAGAAAGCCGCGGGGUGAGGAAAAAAGCAGCUGAGCCCACUGCUGGGCAGCCUGCUUCUGGAGAGGCCAGUGUAAGGAGUACUAUGUCUCCGUUUCUCACUGCCUCCCAAACUAUGGAUCCUCCUCGUGAGGAAGGGGUAUUGUUUUCUCCGCAGCCAAGUGCUGCCUCUUUUCUUUCACAUACUCCAUUAAGCCGUAGCCAUAGCCAAGGCUUUUUUCCAUCGCCUCCACAGAGGCAAACACUAAGCACUGUCCCUACGGAGUGGAGUAGACCAUUUACUCCCCGGGCAGAUUAUGUUCAUCGCUCUCCAGGAGGAAGGGCUUAUCUUUUCGGGCCCAUAUUGGUCCAAGACCAACAGAUGCCUCACCCAACCUCAAUCCCAAUACAAGUAGAUCCUGUUGCACAAUCUAUGCAUCAAGGCCUCAGCACUGCUAUUGUUCUGGCUUUAGGAGCUGAUAUUCCAUCACAUUCUGCAUCAGAAUCUGACUCUGAUGAAGGAAAGGAGGAUGUGCAAGCAGUGGAACUCCCAGUGGAGCCAGAGACAUCAAGUUUUAUAACUCUGAUGUCACGCCUGUCUAGGGCACUGGAAUUGCCUGUCACUGAGGCAAAUCAGCCCCUGGCAUGCCAUCUUUUCCCAGCAGAAGAGCAGCGUCAAGCAGCUCAUUCAGCUACAGCUUUGCCUGCAGAACCAUAUUUAUUACGGCUUGCAACUGCACAAGACAUUGCCCCAUCACUGAUAGGCGCAGUUCCACGAAGGAGUGAUGCCUUGUAUAAGAUAGACCUAACUUCUGCUCAAUGGGUCGCAAAGCCACCUAGACCUAAUUCGGUAGUCACCAAGGUAAUGCAGAACAAACGUUCAGCGAAGACCCAUUUGACACUCUCGGAUAAAGAGGGCAGGAAAUUGGAAGCAGUAGGCAAGAAAGUACACUUAGGGGCAGGAUUGUCAACACGUUUUGCACAUUAUGGAGCCUACAUGGCAGCCUACCAGAACGAUCUAUGGCAAAAGAUAGCUCCUUACUUGGAGGCUUUGCCACAGGACAAACAUGCUCUUGCUAAAGUUAUCCAGCAAGAGGGUCUGGCCUUAGCCAAGUCACAAAAGGAAAUGGCAAAAGACACAGCAGAAGGAGCAAGCAGAAUGUUUGCAGCUACGACUGUUAUCCGCAGACAUGCUUGGCUACGGGCCUCCACACUAUCUGAAGAAGGCAAGCUUCUAGCAGAGGAUCUACCGGUCAAUGACAAGGGUCUCUUUGAUCCGGAGACAGAUGCAAAGCUUAAGGAGGCCCAGGAGGUUCGCCAGGCGGCGAACAAAUAUGGUUUUCCUCCAGCGUCCCGCUAUCGGGGCAAAUCAUAUCCAACUGCCUCUUAUACUAGGAAGCAGUAUGACACCACUAGCAAACCCCCUUCCACAAACCUCUCAGACAACUUACACUCGGCCAGUGGCACCAUCUAG
This 2070-nucleotide long non-coding RNA is filed under the name Anolis carolinensis (green anole). RNAcentral describes it as "lncRNA (ENSACAG00000038178.1)". Lineage: Eukaryota; Metazoa; Chordata; Lepidosauria; Squamata; Anolidae. The record is from RNAcentral.